UGUCACACACGCAUGUGUUGCUUGCUGUGACGAAAAUGCACUGCGCAAGUAGAAAGAAACAAUUGGUUCUUUAUUACAGCGUUCACACCGGGCUCCGUCCAGCAGGGCUCCAUCCAGCAGGGCUCCAUACCUUCGCGGGGGAGAGGGGAGGGAACUAUUGAAUGCCUAGGAUUCCUAAAGCUGCCUUGGUGACAAGGGGGACCACAGAAAUGUCAGUUCCUGAGAGAAGGAUCAGGAAAGAGGCCGGACUCUGAUUCUGCCAAGGUCAGGCUGAAGCAUGCACACGGAGAAGUGUACACAUCAGAGGUGCAUGGGCAGAGAAAUCAUCUUUACAUGCACACAUGCAAGCAAUAUCAAGCCAAGUCCAGGAUCAGCGCCUCUGCAGCAUCCCACAGGGCCUCCGGUGCUCCCCUCCCCGUUUUUUUCCGCGAGUGCUCCUCCCAGGCAACCGCUACCCCCGGGACCACAGGUUGAUUUAGCUUGUUCCUGUGCUCUCCACAAACGGCCGUUCAGCUGCUUCACUGCAACUCAAAUCUGAAAAAUGAACUUCAGGCUAGUGAGAUGGCUUAUCAGGUUUGGAAGUUCGGCAGACGAAUGAGACCUGACUCUAAAGGCCAGUCGGUGGGGAGAGGACCGCGGAACGCCAGACAC
Long non-coding RNA from Mastomys coucha (southern multimammate mouse), 651 nucleotides. RefSeq lists it as uncharacterized. The record is from RefSeq and is a predicted model, not a curated record. The transcript has 4 exons. Lineage: Eukaryota; Metazoa; Chordata; Mammalia; Rodentia; Muridae.